GAUGAACGCUGGCGGCGUGCCUAAUACAUGCAAGUCGAGCGAACAGACGAGGAGCUUGCUCCUCUGACGUUAGCGGCGGACGGGUGAGUAACACGUGUAUAACCUACCUAUAAGACUGGGAUAACUUCGGGAAACCGGAGCUAAUACCGGAUAAUAUAUUGAACCGCAUGGUUCAAUAGUGAAAGACGGUUUUGCUGUCACUUAUAGAUGGAUCCGCGCCGCAUUAGCUAGUUGGUAAGUUAACGGCUUACCAAGGCAACGAUGCGUAGCCGACCUGAGAGGGUGAUCGGCCACACUGGAACUGAGACACGGUCCAGACUCCUACGGGAGGCAGCAGUAGGGAAUCUUCCGCAAUGGGCGAAAGCUUGACGGAGCAACGCCGCGUGAGUGAUGAAGGUCUUCGGAUCGUAAAACUCUGUUAUUAGGGAAGAACAAAUGUGUAAGUAACUAUGCACGUCUUGACGGUACCUAAUCAGAAAGCCACGGCUAACUACGUG
RNAcentral lists this ribosomal RNA (497 nucleotides) under uncultured bacterium. RNAcentral's name for it is "partial 16S ribosomal RNA". It matches the Rfam family "Bacterial small subunit ribosomal RNA", at positions 28 to 507 of the family's 1533-position model. The record is from RNAcentral.